UACAGAGAGCCCAUACUGAACCCCAUGUGUCUCUGCGUUGACACAUUGAAUGUCUUUAUGUUUGUACUGCAAGUAUAGUGUAAUUGAUGUGUAUAUAGGUAUAGUGUAAUUGAUGUGUAUAUAGGUAUAGUGUAAUUGAUGUGUAUAUAGGUAUAGUGUAAUUGAUGUGUAUAUAGGUAUAGUGUAAUUGAUGUGUAUAUAGGUAUAGUGUAAUUGAUGUGUAUAUAGGUAUAGUGUAAUUGAUGUGUAUAUAGGUAUAGUGUAAUUGAUGUGUAUAUAGGUAUAGUGUAAUUGAUGUGUAUAUAGGUAUAGUGUAAUUGAUGUGUAUAUAGGUAUAGUGUAAUUGAUGUGUAUAUAGGUAUAGUGUAAUUGAUGUGUAUAUAGGUAUAGUGUAAUUGAUGUGUAUAUAGGUAUAGUGUAAUUGAUGUGUAUAUAGGUAUAGUGUAAUUGAUGUGUAUAUAGGUAUAGUGUAAUUGAUGUGUAUAUAGGUAUAGUGUAAUUGAUGUGUAUAUAGGUAUAGUGUAAUUGAUGUGUAUAUAGGUAUAGUGUAAUUGAUGUGUAUAUAGGUAUAGUGUAAUUGAUGUGUAU
Oncorhynchus keta (chum salmon) is the source of this 588-nucleotide long non-coding RNA. RefSeq lists it as uncharacterized. The record is from RefSeq and is a predicted model, not a curated record. NCBI's taxonomy places the organism in Eukaryota, Metazoa, Chordata, Actinopteri, Salmoniformes, Salmonidae. The transcript has 3 exons.